Molecule: ribosomal RNA, 254 nt
Filed under: uncultured bacterium
Lineage: Bacteria
Description: partial 16S ribosomal RNA
Rfam family: Bacterial small subunit ribosomal RNA
Source: RNAcentral
UACGGGGGGAGCAAGCGUUGUUCGGAUUUACUGGGCGUAAAGGGCGCGUAGGCGGCCACCGCAGGUCAAUUGUGAAAUCUCCGGGCUUAACUCGGAAAGGUCAACUGAUACUGCGGGGCUAGAGUGCGGAAGGGGCAACUGGAAUUCCUGGUGUAGCGGUGAAAUGCGCAGAUAUCAGGAGGAACACCGAUGGCGAAGGCAGGUCUCUGGGCAUUAACUGACGCUGAGGAGCGAAAGCAUGGGGAGCGAACAGG